Helianthus annuus (common sunflower) is the source of this 534-nucleotide long non-coding RNA. RefSeq lists it as uncharacterized. The transcript is spliced from 2 exons. The record is from RefSeq and is a predicted model, not a curated record. NCBI's taxonomy places the organism in Eukaryota, Viridiplantae, Streptophyta, Magnoliopsida, Asterales, Asteraceae.
CACGUUUGGUCAAAGUCAACCCCUUCCCUCUGUAUAUCCUGGGUAUAAAUACACAUCAAUCAGUUAUUUCGUACACACAGAAACAGAUGGCGCUAGGGUAUGUACGAAUGUGGCGGUGUGCGGCGGUGUUCACAUUAAUAUUAUUGGCUGCUUUCUUCGCUGGCGCAAACGCCCACUUCACCUCAGGUGAAGACGAGACAAAGAUAGUGACUCGAAGGCUUCUAGGGGUGCAUGUUAACGACUAUGGUGAACCAUCAGCAAAUCAAGGGCAUGAUCCUAGAGGAAAGGGUCGUAAGCCUCCAAAGAAGCGACACAGCUAAUUAUGUCGACAUGAAGGAUGACAUGGCUACCAACCUAUCUACUUAAUUGCUAACUGAGGGAAUAACAAUAUAUCAUGUGUUAAUUUUAAUUUGAUAGUAGUGAUGUAACAACGGUAUCUAAUAUUUAUGUUUGUGUUUGGUCGUUGCAUUAUUUGACUGAAAGUUCUAUAAUUUGUUUAAUAAAAUUUAAAAAAAUAUCUACUUGGUUAGACCA